AUUGCUGUUUGAUGCUAGUAUUUUCUUUCAAUAUUGUUGUAGUGCCUAUGUUUAACAGAAUAGGUGUUAGGUUUCACAAGUGACAUUUUGGAAAGAUUUCUUUUGAUGUAAUAUGAAAACUUAAGUAGGCUUCAAUGCCUAAGUAAUAUAGGCUUAUUCACUGUCUUGAUUGAUAAUUCAUUGAAUGUGGAGGUAUUACAAUAUAAAAUCAGUAGUAAAGGUGAAAACAAAUGGAUUAUGAUUAAAAAACAAGCACUAACACAGAGUUCAAAAUUUCAUUGACAUUAACUCCAACAUCCUCAAGAACAAUGUGAAAAGGGUACAUAAAAAACACUAUAUAUAUGAGUCAUAAUAUUUAAUUGAUGUAGGAAUAGGAAGACACUAGAAUCUCAAUCAACAGAAGACUUCGUGUAUGAAAUCCAUAGAGUAUCUUUUAUUGCUUUGUGAGUUUCUCUCAAUUCCAUACAUGUUUCAUACAAGUUAAUGGGUGUUCUGAAUACUUGAUAGAUAACACUAUUUAAAAAUUUUAAAUAUGUUUGUUUCAACCGCUAUUAAGAAAAUUUGGGUUAAGAUUGUUAGCAAAUAUAAGAUGCUGCAACCAAUUAAGUUCAUUAUUGAACUAGGGCAAAAACUAUUUGGGUUAAAUAUCCAAAGGACGUACAAUUGGAUUUACUUACCAAGUUUAUAGUUAGGUUUGUUCUUACUUUUAUAUAGGGGAAACUGGCUGUGAAUUAGGGGUGUGGCUAAAAAAACAUUCCCAUUCAAUGUAUUUGGCCAUCAGUGAACUGAGUCAAAGGAAAUAGACUUUUCUCUUAUCAAAGUUGUGUGAAGGAAAUCAAGAGAAACUCACAGAAAAAUAUAAGCUCUGUUGAUUUCACAGUUGAAGCCUCUUGUUAACCAAUAUUGUGAUGUCAUCUAUACUUACAUCACCCAAACAUCACAUGACCUCUACUUAUAGCAAUUUACCCACUUACAUGUUGUUCCUGAUGAUGUUGGAGUCAACAGAAUGCUGAACCUUGCAUUAGUAGUGGUUUUUCUAACCAUGUUCCAUGUUUGGAUUUUACUAUGAUAUAUUGUCUGUUUGGCUCGUGCACUCAUAUAAAUGUUUCUAGCAGGUUUUUUCCCUACUGAUAUAUUGACCUUAUAUUUUUAUAUUUACAUGUGCACAAAAAUUGUAUUGUUUCCUAAUAAAGCGUGUAUGUGUGCUAUUUACAAUACUGCUUAAAAAAUCAAAAAAGUUAUAAUGGAAAUAUAUAAUGCACUCAUAUAAAUGUUUCUAGCAGGUUUUUUCCUUACUGAUAUAUUGACCUUAUAUUUUUAUAUUUACAUGUGCACAAAAAUUGUAUUGUUUCCUAAUAAAGCGUGUAUGUGUGCUAUUUACAAUACUGCUUAAAAAAUCAAAAAAGUUAUAAUGGAAAUAUUUUUUCUACCAAGGGAAAACAAUUAAAACUUUACAAAGUUGUUGUGUAUUCAAAACCAAUAAUUAGUAAUGUUCCAAAAGCUUUCUUCCUCAAAGCUAAAUAAGUAACCUUGAUAAAUCACUUAAAUGUUUCUGAGUGAUUAAGUAGUUUCAUUUACUAUAGCAUGAAAUAUAAAGCAAAUUAACUAGUUGUGAGUGCUCAUGUUGAUACGUACAAGUUAAAUAUUUUAGCUUUCAUUUAGUUCUGAGAUAAGACAUCAAAGAGUAAUACUGUUGGUUGUUCUUUUUGUAAUUUUGUUAGGUCAUGGAUUAAGGUAAUCCAAGAAAGCUACCCAUCAUACAUCUUCUUAUCGUUAUUAUUUUAGUUUAGAUAGAAGUUAUUGGAUCGUAACAUCAAAAGACAGGAAAAAAAAAGAACCCUACAGGAAUGAUGUUGACACGUAGUACCUUCCAGGUCAUUCAUGUCAUCAGUGAACUACAAUUAACAGUGUCAUAAUGAUAGCUGAUCAGCCUCUAGGCACAAUUUUUUGGUUUGUGCCUGUAUUGGUAUCCCUGAUAUUAUUGCUACUUUUGGGGCUUUGUAUCUGCCUUGGUAAAUCUCAAAAGAAUAUGUCAGUUAGCUUAACACAGUGGGUAUAGACAUUACAUACAUUAGGCUGAACUCAGGGCCAAUUGCAUUAUGAAGUCUGUUUCCAACCGCCUAAACUGAAUGGUAUCCAACUAGAGCUGC
This is a long non-coding RNA of Limulus polyphemus (Atlantic horseshoe crab), 2150 nucleotides long. RefSeq lists it as uncharacterized. The transcript has 3 exons. NCBI's taxonomy places the organism in Eukaryota, Metazoa, Arthropoda, Merostomata, Xiphosura, Limulidae. The record is from RefSeq and is a predicted model, not a curated record.